CUAAGUGGCGGACGGGUGAGUAAUGUAUAGUUAAUCUGCCCUUUAGAGGGGGAUAACAGUUGGAAACGACUGCUAAUACCCCAUACUCCUUUUACAUUAAUUGUAAUUGGGAAACGUUUUUUCGCUAAAGGAUGAGACUAUAUGGUAUCAGGUAGUUGGUGGGGUAAAAGCCCACCAAGCCAAUGACGCCUAGCUGGUCUGAGAGGAUGAUCAGCCACACUGGAACUGAGACACGGUCCAG
Molecule: ribosomal RNA, 241 nt
Filed under: uncultured bacterium
Lineage: Bacteria
Description: partial 16S ribosomal RNA
Rfam family: Bacterial small subunit ribosomal RNA
Source: RNAcentral